UGAGGAAUAUUGGUCAAUGGACGCAAGUCUGAACCAGCCAUGCCGCGUGAAGGAUGAAGGCCUUCUGGGUUGUAAACUUCUUUUAUUGGGGAAGAAAACUACGGUUUCUACUGUAGCCGACGGUACCCAAGGAAUAAGCACCGGCUAACUCCGUGCCAGCAGCCGCGGUAAUACGGAGGGUGCAAGCGUUAUCCGGAUUCACUGGGUUUAAAGGGUGUGUAGGCGGGCUGUUAAGUCAGUGGUGAAAUCUCCGGGCUCAACCCGGAAACUGCCGUUGAUACUAAUGGUCUUGAAUAUUGUUGAGGUAGGCGGAAUAAGUCAUGUAGCGGUGAAAUGCAUAGAUAUGACUUAGAACACCGAUUGCGAAGGCAGCUUACUAAACAAUUAUUGACGCUGAGGCACGAAAGCGUGGGGAUCAAACAGG
RNAcentral lists this ribosomal RNA (424 nucleotides) under uncultured bacterium. RNAcentral describes it as "bacterial SSU rRNA". It matches the Rfam family "Bacterial small subunit ribosomal RNA", at positions 355 to 776 of the family's 1533-position model. The record is from RNAcentral.